This 63-nucleotide transfer RNA is filed under the name Agkistrodon howardgloydi (Gloyds moccasin). Its description in RNAcentral is "tRNA-His". Lineage: Eukaryota; Metazoa; Chordata; Lepidosauria; Squamata; Viperidae. The record is from RNAcentral.
GUGUGUGUAAUUUAAAAAAAAUAUCAAGUUGUGACCCUGAAAAUAGACACCCCCUCGCACACC